RNAcentral lists this ribosomal RNA (301 nucleotides) under uncultured bacterium. Its description in RNAcentral is "partial 16S ribosomal RNA". It matches the Rfam family "Bacterial small subunit ribosomal RNA", at positions 509 to 809 of the family's 1533-position model. The record is from RNAcentral.
CAGCAGCCGCGGGAAUACGAAGGGUGCAAGCGUUACUCGGAAUUACUGGGCGUAAAGCGUGCGUAGGUGGUGGUUUAAGUCCGUUGUGAAAGCCCUGGGCUCAACCUGGGAAUUGCAGUGGAUACUGGGUCACUAGAGUGUGGUAGAGGAUAGUGGAAUUUCCGGUGUAGCAGUGAAAUGCGUAGAGAUCGGAAGGAACGUCUGUGGCGAAGGCGACUAUCUGGGCCAACACUGACACUGAGGCACGAAAGCGUGGGGAGCAAACAGGAUUAGAUACCCGUGUAGUCCCUGUCUCUUAUAA